This 906-nucleotide ribosomal RNA is filed under the name human gut metagenome. Its description in RNAcentral is "bacterial SSU rRNA". It matches the Rfam family "Bacterial small subunit ribosomal RNA", at positions 8 to 922 of the family's 1533-position model. The record is from RNAcentral.
AGGGUUCGAUUCUGGCUCAGGAUGAACGCUGGCGGCGUGCUUAACACAUGCAAGUCGAACGGGAUCCACCGGGCUUUGCUUGGUGGUGAGAGUGGCGAACGGGUGAGUAAUGCGUGACCGACCUGCCCCCAUACACCGGAAUAGCUCCUGGAAACGGGUGGUAAUGCCGGAUGCUCCAGUUGAUCGCAUGGUCUUCUGGGAAAGCUUUCGCGGUAUGGGAUGGGGUCGCGUCCUAUCAGCUUGACGGCGGGGUAACGGCCCACCGUGGCUUCGACGGGUAGCCGGCCUGAGAGGGCGACCGGCCACAUUGGGACUGAGAUACGGCCCAGACUCCUACGGGAGGCAGCAGUGGGGAAUAUUGCACAAUGGGCGCAAGCCUGAUGCAGCGACGCCGCGUGAGGGAUGGAGGCCUUCGGGUUGUAAACCUCUUUUAUCGGGGAGCAAGCGAGAGUGAGUUUACCCGUUGAAUAAGCACCGGCUAACUACGUGCCAGCAGCCGCGGUAAUACGUAGGGUGCAAGCGUUAUCCGGAAUUAUUGGGCGUAAAGGGCUCGUAGGCGGUUCGUCGCGUCCGGUGUGAAAGUCCAUCGCUUAACGGUGGAUCCGCGCCGGGUACGGGCGGGCUGGAGUGCGGUAGGGGAGACUGGAAUUCCCGGUGUAACGGUGGAAUGUGUAGAUAUCGGGAAGAACACCAAUGGCGAAGGCAGGUCUCUGGGCCGUUACUGACGCUGAGGAGCGAAAGCGUGGGGAGCGAACAGGAUUAGAUACCCUGGUAGUCCACGCCGUAAACGGUGGAUGCUGGAUGUGGGGCCCGUUCCACGGGUUCCGUGUCGGAGCUAACGCGUUAAGCAUCCCGCCUGGGGAGUACGGCCGCAAGGCUAAAACUCAAAGAAAUUGACGGGGGCCC